CCCAGCACCCGUCACCCGCACACCUCUCCCAAUUCUUGCGGAGUGAGUCCAUGAGCAAAGACAAACAUCCCAUGGCGUUCACAGUUCUUUCGGGCCUGCUGGUAGAACUGCCUGCCUAUUUCCACCCAUUUAACCUGAUAGUAGAAAGAAGAGAACCAUAGCUGCUCACAGGCAAAUUCCAGUUUCAGGUCGGAUAGCUGCGAAUGUAGCCAUUCAAGGGCCAGCCUCUCAUUUGCCUCCCAACCCAACGAAUUUAGUAAACUAAUUUCCUCUGUGCGUUUCACUCAAUCACAUCACGAGUGACACAGUGCUCUGCUAAUGCUUCAGGACAGGAAUGGGCGUGAGUCACCGAGUCAGCACAGCAACAUGAAAGACUCACAGGUACGUGAGUUCCAUAGUGUCGGGUUUGAAAUAUAAAUAAGCAAGUGAGAGAACACCAAACUGAACAAAACACCAAUCUAUUCUCCAGUCUCCACCCGCCGCCCCCUUGCGGAGGUGGAGACUUGGAACGCAUCUUGCUUCCCGUCCUCGGACAUCCGCCAUGGAGUUUGUUCCUACAGCUGCAGCUGCACCCAUCAUGCGCGGGACACCGUCAGACUCGCCGCGUCCUCAUGUGGCCACAAGGACUGGUCUCUCCUGAGACGAAAUGGUAACAACCUGACACUGCUUCUCCCCCUAGACGCUGCCUACUGCCUCCCCACCCCAGGCCCUCGCCUGCCCUGAGCUCUGCACCCCCUGGACCGCAGGAGCUGGAUCACUUGGGGCACGGCUGGCCAGCGCUCCACCAAGGUGUGGCAUCCGUUCAUCUUUCAAGACCGACCGUGCUGGUGUGCUCGGGUUGCUGUGUGACCCCUGGAGUCACAACACUGACUUGAACAUCUUCCUCAUGGAAAAGGCAGCAAAGCGCUGACUACAAAGAUUGCUGCGGCCAAUGAACGCGCCUGAGCCAGCGUGCGGCACUCACCUUUGUCGGAGGACGCUGUCCUUCCGCCCUGGCCUACGUCCUUGUGGGUUGGCCUAUCUCUCAUUAACUGACUCAGUUAACUGUUCAAAUGGGCGAUUCCUUUUGAAAUCACAGCACUCCAUGGUUGAGUAUUGCCCAGGGAUUAUAAUUCCAAGCUCAUUACAGGCCAAACCUCCAGGGCCGGGUGACAUUUUAUCUAUGGAAGAUUGCCUGAAAAAUACAGAGAUGAGCCGCUCUGCUUUACCAUCUGCAAACGGCUGGACCCUCCUAGGACCCCUGAGGCCCACCCACGGCGGCUCGCUGCAGGUCUCCAUUAAACUCUUAGUGUAUGGGCCUUGUGGGACUCUGGGGCUCCCUGGGACAGUCUGCCCGGGACAGUCUAACUCAGCGGAAGAGGGUGAACUAGUAUCUUCUGCUGUGUUCAUUUGCGUCACUUUCUCUGCGCUCCUGGCUGUCUUUGGCUUCUUCUCAGUCGGCUCUGAAGCUGCAGCUUUGCCUUGACCCUGUUCUAAGCUCAUUCCCAUGAUCUUCUGCGCACCUCCCCAGGCUCCUCCAAGUCCCCACCUUUGUGCAUGAGGACCGCUAAAAUGCCUGCACACGCUCACACGCACACACGCGCGAGUCUUUCCCUGGGUUAGCUCGAGUUUCAGGGCCCCUUCUCCCAGCGCAUCCCCCCCAGCUGCCCCUCCGUCCCUGCCAACUGUGUGCUCAGCCCCUCCCGUGUGCGGCGCCGCACUCCAGGCCACUCCUUUUACCGUAACUGCCAUGUAGGCUGUGGCCACAGAGCAUACGACUCAACCACGCCUUCCAAAAAAACAAACUUCACUUACGGAGAGAUGCUCUGAAAAAUGGCCUUGCAAAACCUAUUGCUGUGCGUGGGAGAC
Chinchilla lanigera (long-tailed chinchilla) is the source of this 1848-nucleotide long non-coding RNA. RefSeq lists it as uncharacterized. The record is from RefSeq and is a predicted model, not a curated record. The transcript is spliced from 3 exons. Lineage: Eukaryota; Metazoa; Chordata; Mammalia; Rodentia; Chinchillidae.